Molecule: ribosomal RNA, 406 nt
Filed under: uncultured bacterium
Lineage: Bacteria
Description: partial 16S ribosomal RNA
Rfam family: Bacterial small subunit ribosomal RNA
Source: RNAcentral
AUUGAACGCUGGCGGCAGGCCUAACACAUGCAAGUCGAACGAGUGGCGGACGGGUGAGUAAUGUCUGGGAAAUUGCCUGAUGGAGGGGGAUAAUUACUGGAAACGGUAGUUAAUACCGCAUACCAUCAGAUGUGCCCAGCUGGGAUUAGCUGGUGGGUGGGGUAACGGCUCACCAAGGCGACGAUCCCUAGCUGGUCUGAGAGGAUGACCAGCAACACUGGAACUGAGACACGGUCCAGACUCCUACGGGAGGCAGCAGUGGGGAAUAUUGCACAAUGGGCGCAAGCCUGAUACAGCCAUGCCGCGUGUAGGAAGAAGGCCUUCGGGUUGUAAAGUACUUUCAGCGGGGAGGCGUUACCAGCAGAAGAAGCACCGGCUAACUCCGUGCCAGCAGCCGCGGUAAUAC